This 480-nucleotide ribosomal RNA is filed under the name uncultured bacterium. RNAcentral's name for it is "bacterial SSU rRNA". It matches the Rfam family "Bacterial small subunit ribosomal RNA", at positions 28 to 507 of the family's 1533-position model. The record is from RNAcentral.
GAUGAACGCUAGCGGGAGGCUUAACACAUGCAAGUCGAGGGGUAAAUGGUAGCAAUACUAUGAGACCGGCGGACGGGUGCGUAACGCGUAUGCAACAUACCUUUAGCAGGGGGAUAGCCCGUGGAAACGCGGAUUAAUAUUCCAUAGUCCAGCAGUAUCGCAUGGUACCACUGGUAAAGAUUAAUCGGCUAAAGAUUGGCAUGCGUCUGAUUAGUUAGUUGGUAGGGUAACGGCCUACCAAGGCGACGAUCAGUAGGGGUUCUGAGAGGAUUACCCCCCACACUGGUACUGAGACACGGACCAGACUCCUACGGGAGGCAGCAGUGAGGAAUAUUGGUCAAUGGGCGGAAGCCUGAACCAGCCAUCCCGCGUGAAGGAAGACAGCCUUACGGGUUGUAAACUUCUUUUCUGUUUUGAAGAAUAAGCCCGUUGAGACGGGUGAUGCCGGUAGGACAGGAAUAAGCAUCGGCUAACUCCGUG